RNAcentral lists this long non-coding RNA (376 nucleotides) under Phasianus colchicus (ring-necked pheasant). Its description in RNAcentral is "lncRNA (ENSPCLG00000014084.1)". The record is from RNAcentral. Lineage: Eukaryota; Metazoa; Chordata; Aves; Galliformes; Phasianidae.
AUGGAGGUGGCAUUUGGGUGUCUUGGGUGUCCCCAGUGUCCAUUGGGUGGUGGUGGCACUCAGGCGUCCCCAAUGUCCCCAGUGUCCGUUGGGUGGUGGUGGCACUUGUGUGACCCCAGUGUCCCCAACUUCCUUUGGGUGGAGGUGACACUCAGGUGUCCCCAGUGUCCGUUGGGUGGUGGUGGCACUCGGGUGUCUUGGGUGUCCCCAAUGUCCAUUGGGUGGAGGUGACACUCAGAUGUCCCCAAUGUCCUUUGGGUGGUGGUGGCACUCAGGUGUCCCCAGUGGCCCUUGGGUGGUGGUGACACUCAGGUGUCCCCAGUGUCCUUUGGGUGGUGGUGGCACUCAGAUGUCCCCAGUGUCCAUUGGAUGCAGG